Long non-coding RNA from Mus musculus (house mouse), 631 nucleotides. RefSeq annotates it as predicted gene, 41613. Lineage: Eukaryota; Metazoa; Chordata; Mammalia; Rodentia; Muridae. The record is from RefSeq and is a predicted model, not a curated record. The transcript has 4 exons.
CAGCUGCUACUGACCAUUGUUGGGAGUUGAACUUCAGACUGAAUAGAAACCCUGACUAAGACAACCUGUGAAAACAAAUCUUGCUUGAGAAGUUACCUCCAUCAUAUUGCCUUUAGUCUCUGCUUGAGUUCCUGCCUCAAGAUCCUGCCCUGCUUGAGUUCCUGUUCUGGCUUCCACCAUGAUGGAUUGGAAGCUCUAAGGAUCCACCAUGGGGAGCAAUGGAACAGGUCUUCAUCUAAAGAGCCGGCUGCUAAUCUCCCGCAAAAGGUCUCUCAGCAUUCCCAGUCAUGGUCUCCACCAAGCCAAGGAGCCCACCCGAACAAGACAAGGACUCUCUCAUCCCCACAGGAUCCAGCCAGAGCUCUUCUCCCCUGCUUUCUCCUUAGGCCCUGGGCUUGAUCCAGCCUGCGGGUUCUCACUCCAUUCUCAGCUCUUCUGCGGCAUCCAGUAGAAUCUGGAAUGUCCAGGACUCUGAGAACCUGAUGUCCUCGCCUCCUUGCAGUCCUGGGGACCCCAGAGCUGGCCCAGUUGUCCCUGAGGAUCUCAGACUGCGCUCCCCUGUGGGGAGCCGCCCUCACAUUCUCCGUUGCAAGAUGGCGCUGACAUCCUGUGUUCUAAGUGGUAAACAAAU